Molecule: ribosomal RNA, 434 nt
Filed under: uncultured bacterium
Lineage: Bacteria
Description: partial 16S ribosomal RNA
Rfam family: Bacterial small subunit ribosomal RNA
Source: RNAcentral
ACGGGAGGCAGCAGUGGGGAAUAUUGGACAAUGUGCGAAAGCCUGAUCCAGCGACGCCGCGUGAGUGAAGAAUUAUUUCGGUAUGUAAAGCUCUAUCAGCAGGGAAGAUAAUUACGGUACCUGACUAAGAAGCCCCGGCUCACUACGUGCCAGCAGCCGCGGUAAUACGUAGGGGGCAAGCGUUAUCCGGAUGUACUGGGUGUAAAGGGAGCGUAGACGGCAAGGCAAGUCUGAUGUGAAAUCCCGGGGCCCAACCCCGGUACUGCAUUGGAAACUGUCUAGCUAGAGUGCAGGAGAGGUAAGUGGAAUUCCUAGUGUAGCGGUGAAAUGCGUAGAUAUUAGGAGGAACACCAGUGGCGAAGGCGACUUACUGGACUGUAACUGACGUUGAGGCUCGAAAGCGUGGGGAGCAAACAGGAUUAGAUACCCUGGUA